AACGAACGCUGGCGGCAUGCCUAACACAUGCAAGUCGAACGAGAUCUUCGGGUCUAGUGGCGCACGGGUGCGUAACGCGUGGGGAUCUGCCCUUUGGUUCGGAAUAACAGUUGGAAACGACUGCUAAUACCGGAUGAUGACGAAAGUCUAAAGAUUUAUCGCCAGAGGAUGAGCCCGCGUAGGAUUAGCUAGUUGGUGUGGUAAAGGCGCACCAAGGCGACGAUCCUUAGCUGGUCUGAGAGGAUGAUCAGCCACACUGGGACUGAGACACGGCCCAGACUCCUACGGGAGGCAGCAGUGGGGAAUAUUGGACAAUGGGCGAAAGCCUGAUCCAGCAAUGCCGCGUGAGUGAUGAAGGCCUUAGGGUUGUAAAGCUCUUUUACCCGGGAUGAUAAUGACAGUACCGGGAGAAUAAGCUCCGGCUAACUCCGUGCCAGCAGCCGCAGUAA
Molecule: ribosomal RNA, 449 nt
Filed under: uncultured bacterium
Lineage: Bacteria
Description: partial 16S ribosomal RNA
Rfam family: Bacterial small subunit ribosomal RNA
Source: RNAcentral